RNAcentral lists this ribosomal RNA (497 nucleotides) under uncultured bacterium. RNAcentral describes it as "partial 16S ribosomal RNA". It matches the Rfam family "Bacterial small subunit ribosomal RNA", at positions 28 to 507 of the family's 1533-position model. The record is from RNAcentral.
GAUGAACGCUGGCGGCGUGCCUAAUACAUGCAAGUCGAGCGAACAGACGAGGAGCUUGCUCCUCUGACGUUAGCGGCGGACGGGUGAGUAACACGUGGAUAACCUACCUAUAAGACUGGGAUAACUUCGGGAAACCGGAGCCAAUACCGGAUAAUAUAUUGAACCGCAUGGUUCAAUAGUGAAAGACGGUUUUGCUGUCACUUAUAGAUGGAUCCGCGCCGCAUUAGCUAGUUGGUAAGGUAAUGGCUUACCAAGGCGACGAGGCGUAGCCGACCUGGGAGGGUGAGCGCCCACACUGGAACUGCGACACGGUCCAGACUCCUACGGGAGGCAGCAGUAGGGAAUAUUCCGCAAUGGGCGCAAGCAUGACGCAGCAACGCCGCGUGAGUGAUGAAGGUCUUCGGAUCGUAAAACUCUGUUAUUCGGUAAGAACAAAUGUGUAGGAAACUAUGCACGUCUUGAAGGUACCUAAUCAGAAAGCCACGGCUAACUUCGUG